UACGUAGGGUGCGAGCGUUAAUCGGAAUUACUGGGCGUAAAGCGUGCGCAGGCGGUUCGUUAAGUUCGUUGUGAAAGCCCCGGGCUCAACCUGGGAACUGCAAUGGAAACUGGCGGGCUUGAGUGUGGCAGAGGGGGGUGGAAUUCCAGGUGUAGCGGUGAAAUGCGUAGAUAUCUGGAGGAACACCGGUGGCGAAGGCGGCAUCCUGGACCGAUACUGACGCUGAGGAGCGAAAGCCAGGGGAGCAAACGGG
This 253-nucleotide ribosomal RNA is filed under the name uncultured bacterium. Its description in RNAcentral is "partial 16S ribosomal RNA". It matches the Rfam family "Bacterial small subunit ribosomal RNA", at positions 524 to 776 of the family's 1533-position model. The record is from RNAcentral.